Molecule: non-coding RNA, 147 nt
Filed under: Desulfacinum hydrothermale
Lineage: Bacteria; Pseudomonadati; Thermodesulfobacteriota; Syntrophobacteria; Syntrophobacterales; Syntrophobacteraceae
Source: RNAcentral
GGAACACGGUGCGAAUCCGUGGCGGUCCCGCCGCUGUGAUCGGGGAUGAGAGGCAGCCUGGAUCCGCCGCCGGGCGGAUCGGUCACUUUCGGGGCUCACCCCGGGGGGAAGGCCGCUGCCUUUCAGAUGAUCCGAGAGCCAGAAGAC